RNAcentral lists this ribosomal RNA (447 nucleotides) under Triticum aestivum (bread wheat). RNAcentral's name for it is "partial small subunit ribosomal RNA". Lineage: Eukaryota; Viridiplantae; Streptophyta; Magnoliopsida; Poales; Poaceae. The record is from RNAcentral.
AUGGAGCAAAUUUCAGAAGGUUUAGAGGUGAAUUUUUCCGAUCAGAGAAAAGGAAACUCUGGAAGAAAGCCAAAGAACAUCAAUUUAGAGCAAAUCCCUACUAUUCCACUAAACAAGAGGUCCACUAUCAGAUCUCUAGCUUGGCAACUGGGAUGUAGCCCUACCACACUGCAUAGAAACUUCAAGCUGAAUUUGAUAAAGAGGCACACAAACUAUGUGAAGCCAGCUCUGAAGGAAAAGAAUAAGAAGGAUAGGAUGAAAUUUUGCAUGUCAAUGCUUGAUGAGACAACGAUAGAAACUUCAAGGCCUAAAUGGAAGACAAUGCAUAAUGUUGUGCACAUUGAUGAGAAAUGGUUCAAUAUGACCAAGAAAAUAAGACCUGCUAUCUGUUGGAUGGGGAGGAGGAGCCUACGAGGCCUAUACAUGGCAACUGCAUUGGCAAGGUGA